RNAcentral lists this long non-coding RNA (914 nucleotides) under Mustela putorius furo (domestic ferret). RNAcentral's name for it is "lncRNA (ENSMPUG00000030751.1)". Lineage: Eukaryota; Metazoa; Chordata; Mammalia; Carnivora; Mustelidae. The record is from RNAcentral.
AAAAUCACACUGAAGCAUCUGGAGUGUUUGCAAUUUAUUCUGAAGUGUUUCAGAAAAAAAAAAAAAAGCCAAAGUCUACUGAGAGACAGAAGAUGAAUGAUAAAACUAGUGUAAUGCCCUUGGCAAAUCUGGGUGAAGAAAAAUCUGUUCAUUCUUUUUUUUCAUCAGUCAAAAUUUGUUUUUACAAAAGACUUUAAAUAAAUAACAUUCUGGGAGAACGGAAUUGUUGUACCUUGGACCAUGUUCCCUUGGCAAGAUUAGGACAUGGUUGGAGAAAGUCCUGAGCUAACAGUGUCCCAAAUGCCACGUGGAAUGAGUUCCUGAUGGAACAUAUAAGAGCAAUUAUCAAGGAGUGGAGCAAAAGGUAUUUCUCAGGCCAGAUGGUAGAUGUCUCCCAUAGAGAAGAUUUCUUGAUUUCAGUUAUCUGAUGAUCAUUCUCAAGAUAAACUUGUGGACAAGUUCUUCUAUUUCCAACUUCAAUCAGAACCAUGAAUUCUAACAGCCUCCUUCUUCCUCUCUCAGUAUCAAACGUGGGAGAAAAAGUGUCAGAAGUGGGAGAAUAUGACUCACUUAAAGGUAUGCACUUUGGAAACAGACUUUGCUGGCUUAUGUGUUGCAAAUACCAUCUUACAGGCUACGAUGUUCUAAUUUUUCUUUGCAUAGGAAUAAUAAAAAAUAAAUUGUUCUACCACUAUUUUUCUGGGCAUUGUUUCUCGCCUUCUUUUCUUUAUCCUCUUCUCCUAAAUUUCCCAUUAGAAUAUAUGAGAUCAUUUCAUUCUUUUUCUCCAUACCUAUGAACAAUUUCUUUUUUUUCAUCAUUUUCCCUCUCUGUUCAUUACUCCGUGUAAUAUUAUCACACCUAAUUUCUGGCUCAUCAAUUCUAUUUUCAGCUGUGUUCAUCUGAUUAUCUUUCU